CGAUGAAGGCCUUCGGGUUGUAAAGCACUGUCGAGGGGGAGAAACGUCCCGCAAGGGGCUUGAUCUAUCCCUGGAGGAAGCACCGGGCUAAGUUCGUGU
Molecule: ribosomal RNA, 99 nt
Filed under: uncultured bacterium
Lineage: Bacteria
Description: partial 16S ribosomal RNA
Source: RNAcentral